This 255-nucleotide ribosomal RNA is filed under the name uncultured bacterium. RNAcentral describes it as "partial 16S ribosomal RNA". It matches the Rfam family "Bacterial small subunit ribosomal RNA", at positions 524 to 776 of the family's 1533-position model. The record is from RNAcentral.
UACGUAGGGCGCAAGCGUUGUCCGGAAUUAUUGGGCGUAAAGAGCUCGUAGGCGGUUUGUCGCGUCUGCUGUGAAAACCCGAGGCUCAACCUCGGGCCUGCAGUGGGUACGGGCAGACUAGAGUGUGGUAGGGGGAGACUGGAAUUCCUGGUGUAGCGGUGGAAUGCGCAGAUAUCAGGAGGAACACCAAUGGCGAAGGCAGGUCUCUGGGGCCACAACUGACGCUGAGGAGCGAAAGCGUGGGGAGCGAACAGG